UAUCAAUCUUCUCUUCCUUUCCUUUCUCCCUCUUCUCUCCUUUCUCUUUCCUCCUCAGCGGCGGAACUCUUUUUUACAAUCUUCUUCUUCUUCAUUCACUGAAUCACUGUCCAAUUUAAUAACAAUAAGAUUCAAGAAUCCACUGAUGAUAACAAAGAAGAAAAUCUUAGAUCAUUUUCUUAAUCUACAGUAAAUCACGACGACAAAGAUGAGAAAACAAAUCGAAAGUGUUGCUGAUGCGGUAUUCUUUGCUGAAGAUGGUUACUCAAUUGUUGGUUUUAAGGUUACAUAUUAGGGGGGUUUGUUCUGUUGGAUUUAGGGUUACAGAUUAGGGGUUUGUUUUGUUAGAUUUAGGGUUACAGAUUAAUGGUUUCUCUAUGGUGAAAACGGGGACUACUUUGGUUUGUAUGAUUUUGUAGGUGAUGCCCAAGUUCUUGAAAGGUUUGGAAGCUCGGGAUCAAGGUUACUUGUUCUCAAGAGACUGAAUCACAUUAUUGAAAGCCUAGUAGUAUGACAGAAGAAAGCUGCUCAAGAAGCCACUAUAACCUCAGCUGCAGGAGAAAGUAUUAUUGAGCUUAAGGUCAAGACCUUGGGUUCACAGAUCUGAAAACUCCGUGUUGAAAAAAAAUGUUGGUGUCCAAGCAUCGAAAAUGCAAAUGUGUAAUACCAAAGGUAGAAGGUUACGCAGUUGGUGGAGUACAAGUAUUGGUAUUGUAGAUGGUUAUUGAAUUAACAGUAGCUGCUGCAAUGUCAUUUUUAUCCAGACAGGCCCAUAGGUGUGGAUGAAACAUGACAUGAUGCUGCAUUAUAGAUGUUACUAACGCAAUGGAUCAGAUGUUGCGAGUGUUUGUAAGAGAGUAUGUAAGAGGAGAAGAGCAUUAACAUGAGUCUGCAGUUAACCAUCAUUCUUGCUUCUGAUCUAUAGUUCUCUUUCGCUCAAUUGUCCUUAUUGAAGUUGGGCUUGUUUCUGUUUGGUUGCAGCUCACGAGUGUUUGCUUGAUCCUACACAUGGCAAAGGAUCAGAAGAUAGAUGAUGGUGGUCUUUGGAGCAGUUGCAGUAUAAAAUGUAUGUGUGGAAUAUGUAUGAAGAGGUUGGAGAACUUUAUCCAUGUUUUGAAGUUAUGGUGAGGUUAGGGAUUGUAGAUGUGAUAUGUAUGAAUUGCGGAUUGAAAGAGAAUAGAUUGCAGUUGUGUUUCAGGUUUAAUUGUACUGCAUGUUUGUAAACUAGAACAUUAAACUAGAACAUGAUGGUAGAAUCUGUGUAGUUUGUGGUUUAUUUGUAGUUCAGGCCUGUAAACUGAGAGUGCAGGUCCAUCAUCGUGACCUGUAUCGCAGGCCUGUAAACUGGAAGCCCGGAUCCAUGAAAAUCUGGGCUACCCAUUUUUUUUUAA
This is a long non-coding RNA of Papaver somniferum (opium poppy), 1391 nucleotides long. RefSeq lists it as uncharacterized. The record is from RefSeq and is a predicted model, not a curated record. The transcript has 8 exons. NCBI's taxonomy places the organism in Eukaryota, Viridiplantae, Streptophyta, Magnoliopsida, Ranunculales, Papaveraceae.